This 72-nucleotide transfer RNA is filed under the name pig gut metagenome. It matches the Rfam family "tRNA". From Rfam's summary of the family: Transfer RNA (tRNA) molecules are approximately 80 nucleotides in length. Their secondary structure includes four short double-helical elements and three loops (D, anti-codon, and T loops). The record is from RNAcentral.
GGGACUUAGCUCAGUUGGCUAGAGCAUCUGCCUUGCACGCAGAGGGUCGAGAGUUCGAAUCUCUUAGUCUCC